AACAGUUCACGAAGCAGCAUCGAACAUCUAUAAGAAAAGUGCGGACACUGUACCAGCUUCGAAGGAGAGUGUGCAGUUUCACUCGCUGCCUCGUAAAAAUGGUGCAGGCGUUUUUUUGGUGUAAUUCCGUUUAUAAUGACCGAAGGUAAUUGUGAAAGAAAUUGGACUCUCGACUGAGAUCGUGACAAGUGUAAUAACAACAAAUAAUUAUAUGCACGGCUUGAAAUACAACGGUAACAGGAAGGUGAUUCGAAGGGGUCGUAAUAACAUAAAAUGAGACUGAAAAUAUUGCAAUGAUAAUCACAGCUGCAGAGUAAAUAAAUACGUAAACCGAAGAAUGGAGGAAAACAUCAGACGAUUACGUGUUCGAGCAAUGACGCAACAUCGCAUUCGUAACGCGCGCGCGCGAAGCAAUGAAAGAUGAGCCCGCGCUUACAGGCGUCGAUUAACCUUCAACUCACGGAAGCGUGCACCCAGCAGCGCUAUAAGAAUAUCAUUGACUUAAGCAUGCUUGCGAUAUUUCAGCCUACCAAAAAGUGUAUGUCGACUAUAUGGACCCAAGGAAAAGUUCUCCCUACAGCGACGGAGUCGGCGAACUAGGAGGAUAAAAAAUCAAGAGAACCGAAGGAGACAGAGGAAAAUACGGAGAGUAUCACAACGGAGGUAAGGAUUGAAGAAAGAAGAAAAGAGAGCUAAACAGAAGAGAGAUCGUCGUCGUUUUUUUUUGCUCCAUUUUCUUUUGCUCGUUCGCGCGGGCAGCUGCGCGUCAUCGGCAACACCUGCCGAUGGGCCACGUGUUGCUGAAAAUGAAGACGAAAUAUACGAAGCGAAAAAUACAGCAGACACAAACCACGAAGGUGGAGAUGGAAUUUGACCAGAGAAGAACGGUGUGCACGGGAAGUAGAGGCAAGCAAUUGACCCCGGAUAAGACUCCCACUUAAAAGAAAUGGCCGAUAUGUGCCCGAACUGCAUCAAGAGGAUACAAGUAUACGUGCUUUGAAAACGAGGAACACCAGAACCGUAGAUUAUCGUAAAAACGAACGAUCAUUUUACUAUACCAUUCUUUUCUUUCGAUUAUGUAUCUGGUGUGAAUACAUUUAUAAGGCACAAUCGUGAUAUCCGAUUAAUCGAAAUUUCAUUUAAUCGUAUAUAUACUCAUAUUGAGAUUAAACUCCUUAGAAGGAUGGGACUCGAGCUUGCUGAAUCGACAUCUUCAACAGUGGUGAACUUUCUCAUCGCAAACAAUGAUGGCGAUGGAAUGGCUAAUAGAUUUCCUUCGUAAACGAAAAUGAGUUUGACUGCUUCGAGUCAAAGAGUCUUGGGUCUCCAUCGAAAGAGUUUCGAAUAAGAUUCGCAUUCUUGUUUGAAUACUCACACUGAUAUAGUGUUGAUAAAAAUACUCCUGAACGUCCUCAGGCGUAAAAUCUACUCGUAAUUUCUAUAAACAGUAGAGCUUGGAAGCCUAGAAACGAAGAGUGAGAAGAAUAUAUACUGCAUUGUCCUUUCACUUCUCAAACGAUAAGUAGUAUGCAUGAUGCACUUCUCGAUGGUUCAACUCCGAAAACAUUUUUUUCCUGCUACACAUAGCUACGAUUUGUGCAACGAAUUCGGACCAGCUGUCAAAGCAGUUGCCAAGAGACGCAACUGUGUCACGACAAAGAUACAGAUUCAGCUUGAAAAAUGUGAACCAGCAGCCCAAAAGAGAGAGAGAGAGAGAAAAAAAAAUCCGCAGCAGUACCCUAAAUAAUAACAAUAUCGAAAAGGAUCGGAAAGGUGCACAGUAGAGUAGUUUUUGGAGGGCUCGCCGCGCCAUUAUUGGCUCCAUCAGUCCCGGAAGAGCUGCACGGACCGAUUACGCGUGCGACCAUUUCAGUCAUUCAGGAAAAUCGAACGUGCACAUUAACGCUGACGAGGGAGUCCGUCAUUUUUCACAAACUUCAUAGAAAGUAAUUCUGAAAAAAAACCGACGACAGAGGGUCAGCGGUCUUGAAGGGAUUUCCUUUGAAAAAUAACAUACAGCAAAAUGGCUGAUUGUGCCUGCGGCCACAUCGAAUUUGAAGGAAUUCUUCGUGAAACGGCACUUGGACUGAAUAAAGGUUAUGAACGACAAAUGAAUAGUAAAAAAAAGUUGCGACACGUGUUAGCAAUCCGAAUGAUGAAUUGUGGUCGAAAAUCUACCAUGGCUUUGAUCAUUUUUACUUUUUUUUUUACAUAUAAAACGUUCACACUUUCAGUGAUCGCGCUGAACCGUCAUUCGAAUGGUCAUGCGGUCAUCGAUACGGUUUUUUCGCGGUCAGGAAAAAAAGCAAAUAUGUGCGUGCCGUUGAACAGUAGGCUUGUGAAAUGUGUUAUGAAAAUUUCAAAAUUUCCUGCUCAAUUAGCUCCAUUUUCGAUGUUAAGAGUAUGGAUCAGUCGACUGCUCACUUGGAAUUUUCAAAAUCAAAAUUAGCAGCUAUCUCUCUGACACUCGCCGUUGCGAUACGCCAACUGAUCCAUCGUCUUAAGAGCAUUGUACAUAUUUUUUCAUGCUCGAACCAUCUCUAUUAAUUAUCAUUCUUUUUUCCUCACUCCAAGUGACUUAACGUUCAUCCUGCCGAGUCAUAAUAUCAUGUUGUUGGGACUUGAUGGAUAUAAACUACAGCCUGAAGAUUUCACCACAGCAGGUUGCAUCUCGAUACACGCGUUGGCUGCAGAGGGAAUUCAACGAUCCGCCACCAGAGGGGGUUAUAGCAUGUCUUUGAACGAGUGCAACGCACGCGAGUACGAUGCACAAAAGAUUGCUUCGCUGCGGGCCCACCUGCUGCUCGAUGCAAACCGCAUGCCGUUCUUGCUGGCAUCGAUGCAGCUUGCCCGAGAAUGCGUACUACUACUAUGAAUCAGUGCCACGAAAACCGGUGCAUAAGGGGUUUUCAGUGCAGUAUACAAUAUACGUGUGUACACGAGUGAGUGUGCAACGGAGAUGAAAAAAACACGAGAAUACUUCUUUCUCUUGGGAACGCACGGUCCUCUCGCUACUAUACUUACUACGUAUCUGAGGUGACGUAACGCGUACGUAGAAACAUGUGCUCAUCGCAGCAACAUUUUCCGACCUUCAAUGUCUUCUUCACGCGCACAAGUCGAUGCAUGUCCCAUGCGAGAGCCCGCGUGCAAUCACAAUGUGGGCACUGGGGCUAUGAUGCAUCGAAAUAACAGAGAAAAGGCUUUUGCGGUGAGAUGAACCACCUGCCGACAGAUGUUUGGAUCUAACGAGCAGAGGAAAGAAAAAGACAGAUAGAACUACAGGAAUCAACGAAGCGAAUAAAGAAAUGCGUUGUUUUUGGGAUCCUCUACGUUCAACGACUCCUUAUCCCGGAUCCUUGAUAUUUCUUGCCUUCUACUUUAACCCUCUUCUUGCAAGCCACUCUUUUUCAUGUACACUACACAAUACUUAAUCGUGUAACGCACAAACCCUCUGGCCCAUCUGUAUGUAAUCGAGCGAGCAGUGGAAUCAUAUGAUUGGCGCCACCUGUCGGUAUUUUUUUAUAUUAUAAUCCCAUACACCGCUCGUUGACGUAAGAUCCAACCGAAACUACAAGUUUGUAACUGUUUCAAACAAUUGUAUUAUGUAAAAGAACUCAGAAAAAAAAACAUUUGCGCUUUAGCAGAACUUUGUUCCCAAAAUACGACCAUGUGAAAAAUUAUUGAGACUGUGACUAUGCAGUGAAAAUGCUUCGGUUCGCCUUCCAUUAUGCAGCGACUUUUCAUAUGCUCUCUGCAAUCCUUAACAAUGUAUGAAAAGUGUGAAGUACAAUAUAGCAAUGCGCUCAGUAA
Molecule: long non-coding RNA, 3810 nt
Filed under: Venturia canescens
Lineage: Eukaryota; Metazoa; Arthropoda; Insecta; Hymenoptera; Ichneumonidae
Description: uncharacterized LOC122411612
Source: RNAcentral